Molecule: ribosomal RNA, 400 nt
Filed under: uncultured bacterium
Lineage: Bacteria
Description: bacterial SSU rRNA
Rfam family: Bacterial small subunit ribosomal RNA
Source: RNAcentral
GACGAACGCUGGCGGCGUGCUUAACACAUGCAAGUCGAGCGGUAAGGCCCUUUCGGGGGUACACGAGCGGCGAACGGGUGAGUAACACGUGGGUGACCUGCCCUCAGCUCUGGGAUAAGCCUGGGAAACCGGGUCUAAUACUGGAUAUGACUCCAUGACGCAUGUUGUGGGGUGGAAAGCCUUGUGCGGCUGAGGAUGGGCCCGCGGCCUAUCAGCUUGUUGGUGGGGUGANGGCCUACCAAGGCGACGACGGGUAGCUGGUCUGAGAGGACGGCCAGCCACACUGGAACUGAGACACGGUCCAGACUCCUACGGGAGGCAGCAGUGGGGAAUAUUGCGCAAUGGGCGAAAGCCUGACGCAGCGACGCCGCGUGGGGAUGAAGGCCUCGGUGUAACCCUU